UAGUUGGAUCUGGGUCGCAUGGCUACAUGCUGUUGCUUAUAUUCUCAGCCUGGUUACGAUCGGGUUGGGUUUAUGGCUGGGCGUAGUGGUUGUGCAGCCUUUCUGCCGUGUCUGUUUUGCAGGUGCUGGUUGAUCGGUUUCGGUCUGCUAGCAUGCUUCCAGAUGCCUUUAAACGGGUGUCGGGAGCGGACGGCAUGUUUACUUUGAACAAAUUUGAGUGCUCAAAGCAGGCCCUUGUGCCUGAAAAGUCUUGCAUGGAAUAAUGGAAUAGGACUUCGGUUCUAUUUUGUUGGUUUUCGGAUCCGAAGUAAUGGUUAAGAGGGACAGACGGGGGCAUUUGUAUGGCGGUGUUAGAGGUGAAAUUCUUGGAUCGCCGCCAGACAAACUACAGCGAAAGCAUUUGCCAAGGAUGUUUUCAUUGAUCUGGAGCGAAAGUUAGAGGUUCGAAGACGAUCAGAUACCGUCCUAGUUCUAACCAUAAACGAUGCCAACUGACGAUCCGUGGGGGUUCUAUUAUUGGCCCCGCGGGCAGUCCCCGGGAAACCCUUAAGUCUUUGGGCUCCGGGGGAAGUAUGGUUGCAAAGCUGAAACUUAAAGGAAUUGACGGAAGGGCACCACCAGGAGUGGAGCCUGCGGUUUAAUUCGACUCAACACGGGAAAUCUCACCCGGCCCGGACACUGUGAGGAUUGACAGAUUGAUAGCUCUUUCUUGAUUCGGUGGUUGGUGGUGCAUGGCCGUUCUUAGUUGGUGGAGCGAUUUGUCUGGUUAAUUCCGAUAACGAACGAGACUUUUGCCUGCUAAAUAGUAUGCCUGUCCUCUGUGCUCGUUUAGGUCACGAUGUACGCUGCCUCCUUGUGGGGUAGUGGUGUCGUUGUCCGACGGGUGCGGCGCAGGUAAUUACUUCUUAGAGGGACAAGCGGCGUGACAGUCGCACGAAAUUGAGCAAUAACAGGUCUGUGAUGCCCUUAGAUGUCCGGGGCCACACGUGCGCUACAAUGAUGGUUUCAGCGAGUUUGGAAUCCUGGUCCGAAAGGAUUGGGUAAACUGAACCAUAACCAUCGUGACUGGGAUCGGGGCUUGCAAUUGUUCCCCGUGAACGAGGAAUUCCUGGUAAGUGCAAGUCAUAAGCUUGCGCUGAUUACGUCCCUGCCCUUUGUACACACCGCCCGUCGCUACUACCGAUUGAAUGGUUUAGCAAGGUCAUCGGAUCGGUGCCAUUGUAGUGGCUUCGGCCGCUCGACAGGUACUGAGAAGACGA
Molecule: ribosomal RNA, 1259 nt
Filed under: Ogmogaster antarctica
Lineage: Eukaryota; Metazoa; Platyhelminthes; Trematoda; Plagiorchiida; Notocotylidae
Description: SSU rRNA
Rfam family: Eukaryotic small subunit ribosomal RNA
Source: RNAcentral